UACGUAGGGGGCAAGCGUUGUCCGGAUUUAUUGGGCGUAAAGAGCGUGUAGGCGGCCAUACAGGUCAGCUGUGAAAACUCGAGGCUCAACCUCGAGACGUCGGUUGAAACCGUAUGGCUAGAGUCCGGAAGAGGAGAGUGGAAUUCCCGGUGUAGCGGUGAAAUGCGCAGAUAUCGGGAGGAACACCAGUGGCGAAGGCGAUCAUCUGGGACUAACCUGACGCUGAGGAGCGAAAGCCAGGGGAGCAAACGGG
This 253-nucleotide ribosomal RNA is filed under the name uncultured bacterium. Its description in RNAcentral is "partial 16S ribosomal RNA". It matches the Rfam family "Bacterial small subunit ribosomal RNA", at positions 524 to 776 of the family's 1533-position model. The record is from RNAcentral.